Molecule: small nuclear RNA, 105 nt
Organism: Hyla sarda
Lineage: Eukaryota; Metazoa; Chordata; Amphibia; Anura; Hylidae
Source: RefSeq, a predicted model, not a curated record
GGGCUUGGUUUAGCAGCACAUUUACUACAACUGGAACAAUACAGAGAAGAUUAGCAUGGCCCCUGUGCAAAUGAAAUUUGUGAGAAUAACCAGAGCACAGUACAU